GACGAACGCUGGCGGCGUGCUUAACACAUGCAAGUCGAACGGAAAGGCCUGCUUUCCCUUGUGGAUUGCGGGUACUCGAGUGGCGAACGGGUGAGUAACACGUGAGUGAUCUGCCCCCAACUUGGGUAUAAGCCUGGGAAACUGGGUCUAAUUCCCGAUAGGACUGCAGGGUGGUGCCUGUGGUGGAAAACGAUUUUCUAGUGGUUGGGGAUGAGCUCGCGGCCUAUCAGCUUGUUGGUGGGGUAAUGGCCUACCAAGGCGGCGACGGGUAGCCGGCCUGAGAGGGUGGACGGCCACAUUGGGACUGAGCUACGGCCCAGACUCCUACGGGAGGCAGCAGUGGGGAAUAUUGCACAAUGGGCGGAAGCUUGAUGCAGCGACGCCGCGUGGGGGAUGACGGCCUUCGGGUUGUAAACUCCUUUCGACCGCGAGGAAGCCACCUGGUUGGAAGGGUGGUGACGGUAGUGGUAGAAGAAGCACCGGCUAACUACGUG
Molecule: ribosomal RNA, 494 nt
Filed under: uncultured bacterium
Lineage: Bacteria
Description: partial 16S ribosomal RNA
Rfam family: Bacterial small subunit ribosomal RNA
Source: RNAcentral